CAACUUGAGAGUUUGAUCCUGGCUCAGAGCGAACGCUGGCGGCAGGCUUAACACAUGCAAGUCGAACGCCCGGGCAACCGGGAGUGGCAGACGGGUGAGUAACGCGUGGGAACAUGCCCUUUGGUUCGGAAUAACUCAGGGAAACUUGAGCUAAUACCGGAUAAGCCCUUAUGGGGAAAGAUUUAUCGCCGAAGGAUUGGCCCGCGUCCGAUUAGCUAGUUGGUGAGGUAAUGGCUCACCAAGGCGACG
RNAcentral lists this ribosomal RNA (249 nucleotides) under Alsobacter ponti. Its description in RNAcentral is "partial 16S ribosomal RNA". It matches the Rfam family "Bacterial small subunit ribosomal RNA", at positions 1 to 278 of the family's 1533-position model. The record is from RNAcentral. Lineage: Bacteria; Pseudomonadati; Pseudomonadota; Alphaproteobacteria; Hyphomicrobiales; Alsobacteraceae.